GAUCCAGACUUUGAUCAUGGCUCAGGAUGAACGCUAGCUACAGGCUUAACACAUGCAAGUCGAGGGGCAGCAUGAACUUAGCUUGCUAAGUUUGAUGGCGACCGGCGCACGGGUGCGUAACGCGUAUCCGAAUCUACCCAUGGCUCGGGGAUAGCCUUCUGAAAGGAAGAUUAAUACCCGAUGUCUUGCGGGGUGGCAUCACCU
This 204-nucleotide ribosomal RNA is filed under the name uncultured Bacteroidota bacterium. Its description in RNAcentral is "uncultured Bacteroidetes bacterium partial 16S ribosomal RNA". It matches the Rfam family "Bacterial small subunit ribosomal RNA", at positions 1 to 196 of the family's 1533-position model. The record is from RNAcentral. Lineage: Bacteria; Pseudomonadati; Bacteroidota.